This 497-nucleotide ribosomal RNA is filed under the name uncultured bacterium. RNAcentral describes it as "partial 16S ribosomal RNA". It matches the Rfam family "Bacterial small subunit ribosomal RNA", at positions 28 to 507 of the family's 1533-position model. The record is from RNAcentral.
GAUGAACGCUGGCGGCGUGCCUAAUACAUGCAAGUCGAGCGAACAGACGAGGAGCUUGCUCCUCUGACGUUAGCGGCGGACGGGUGAGUAACACGUGGAUAACCUACCUAUAAGACUGGGAUAACUUCGGGAAACCGGAGCUAAUACCGGAUAAUAUAUUGAACCGCAUGGUUCAAUAGUGAAAGACGGUUUUGCUGUCACUUAUAGAUGGAUCCGCGCCACAUUAGCUAGUUGGUAAGGUAACGGCUUACCAAGGCAACGAUGCGUAGCCGACCUGAGAGGGUGAUCGGCCACACUGGAACUGAGACACGGUCCAGACUCCUACGGGAGGCAGCAGUAGGGAAUCUUCCGCAAUGGGCGAAAGCCUGACGGAGCAACGCCGCGUGAGUGAUGAAGGUCUUCGGAUCGUAAAACUCUGUUAUUAGGGAAGAACAAAUGUGUAAGUAACUAUGCACGUCUUGACGGUGCCUAAUCAGAAAGCCACGGCUAACUACGUG